This is an RNA transcript of Prosopis cineraria, 2264 nucleotides long. RefSeq lists it as uncharacterized. Lineage: Eukaryota; Viridiplantae; Streptophyta; Magnoliopsida; Fabales; Fabaceae. The transcript is spliced from 6 exons. The record is from RefSeq and is a predicted model, not a curated record.
GGUAGAGAAGCCACAAAUGAAAUUCUUGCACCAGGGUUCGAACACUCGUCGUUUUAUUCACGUUCUCUUUUAACCUGGAAUCCAAAUUCUUCGGAUUGUGUUGUUGUCUCUUUAUGAUUGGAUGAAAUAUGACAGACUGUUUGUCCCCCCUUUCUUUGUACGAUGUCGUUUUACAUCACGGACGAGGCUCUCCAUUCUACACAUUACUUGGUUCACUACUACGAUGUCGUUUUGGAUCCGAAGCUGCUAGCGCUUCCUUGCUUCGUCUGUCCCAGCUGGCUCGAAACCUGAGGCGAGUGAAAAAUGGUGGCAGCUCUUCGAAACCGAUUGGCCUCCCAGAUCCUGACCAGGUUCCUCUAUUCACCGAUUCGUCAUACUGGGAGCACAAGCUCGCUCGAAACUGUAGCCUACGAAGAAGUGAGAGCCUAUCCUGACAAACCUUACACUUCAACCGCUGUCAUUAUCCAUGGCUUCUUGGGAUCGGGAAGAAAUUGGAGAUCUUUCUCCCGCAAUCUCGUCGCUGCUCUCUCCAAUUCCUCUCCUUCUUCAAAUUGGAGGACGGUGCUAUUGGAUAUGAGGAAUCAUGGAAAAUCAGCGGACAGAAAACUCAGUCCACCUAAUACUAUGGAUAAUGCGGCCAAAGAUUUGGCUGAUUUGGUAAAGGUCGAAGGCUGGCCUUGGCCUGAAGUUGUUAUUGGCCACUCCAUGGGCGGUAAGGUCGUUAUGCAAUAUGCUGAGAGCUGUAGCCGGGGUGAAUAUGGUGAUAGGGCUUCAUUGCCAAAACAGCUCUGGGUUUUGGAUGCUGUUCCGGGAGAAUUGAACCCUGAAAACAGCCAUGAAGAAGCUAGAGAUGUUUUAUGGACCUUGCAAAGUUUACCGGCUCAAAUCCCAUCUCGGAAGUGGCUUGUGAGUCAUCUGAUGGGACUUGGUUACUCCAAGUCAUUGUCAGAAUGGAUAGGCACCAAUCUCAAGAAAUCUGGUGACCAUGAGACAUGGGCAUUUGAUCUUGAAGGUGCUAAGGAGAUGUUCGAUUCUUACUGGGAGAAGUCCUAUUGGAAUCUAUUGGAGAACCCUCCUCAAGGUAUGGAGAUAGUGAUUGUGCGUGGCGAAAAUAGUGACAGAUGGAGCCAAGAUGCGAUUCAGAGAAUUCAAAAAUUUGCCAGUCGAGGACAAACUGAUUCUCUUGGAAAGGUUUCCCUUUGCGUUCUUCCUAAGGCAGGGCAUUGGGUUCAUGUGGACAACCCAAAGGGACUGCUUGAGAUUGUGGCUCCCAGAUUAGCAUCCUUUUAAGCAUUUUUUCCAGACAUUGGGAAAGCUACCAUUGGAAAUUUUGCGUCCACAUUUGGAGCAAUUGACACUGAUAAAGGGAUGUGAAUCACUUCGUUACGAAGAAAUGGGAUUUGAAUGGCCAAAAAAAAAAAGUCAAAAUAAUCUCGUUCCUGCUUCAAUGCUUGUACCUCGAGGUGUUUGUUAGCAACUUGUUCAAGAGGAAGCUAUUUGUUUCUGUCAUAAUAGAGGGGGAAUUUACGAUGAUUUGAAGUAUUGGUCUAUUGGAGGUGAACAUGCAGUAUUCAUAGGAGACACUAGGCAAUUCAUGUGAGCUUUUGCUGAUAAAGUGAAGUCCAUCUCAGCAUUCAUGAUUGAAGCAUUAGCUUUGAAAAUAGCUCUUUUAUUGGCCAGAGAUCUGAGUUAUGAGAAGGUGACUGUCUAAAGUUGGUGUCUUGCGUUAAUCUUGGCCAAGCUGAUUGAGGGGAAUGGCUUUGCAAAAGUAUUAUUGAAGGCAUUUUGGAUCUCCUGGCAACAAAAGCUAGGUUCUCCCUCUCCUUUGUGUCACGCAAAAGUGAUUGUGCAGCUAAUCUUAUGGCUGCCCUUGCUAUUAAGGAAGUGAGUUCGGUUGGAUGGGUGGAAACACCGUCAUCUCCUUUAUCUCUUGUUCUAGGUGGUGAUGCUGUGAUUUCUGAGGUGAAUUCUUGCCAGAGGGGAGCUGUGCCUAACCGUGAUGGAGUUGGCUAAUUUGCUUCCUGUUUUUUCUGCUGUUUUUUGUCUGUUUUGCUGCUUUAUUUUCUUUGUCUAGCUUUAGCUUUGGUUGGGCUUUGGCCUAUGUUUUUGCCUUUGAAAUAUUGUCGCUGUUCGGCUUUUACCUUCACCUUCGACAAAUAAUUGAAGUACCUUCGGCCAAAAAAAUUAAUAGCAUAGUAGAUGAGGAAAUAUGUUUAAUUUAUGACCUUGAAAUAUCACAUUUUAAAUUUCUUUUUUCUUAAGAA